AUUGAACGCUGGCGGCAGGCCUAACACAUGCAAGUCGGACGGUAGCACAGAGGAGCUUGCUCCUCGGGUGACGAGUGGCGGACGGGUGAGUAAUGUCUGGGGAUCUGCCCGAUAGAGGGGGAUAACCACUGGAAACGGUGGCUAAUACCGCAUAACGUCGCAAGACCAAAGAGGGGGACCUUCGGGCCUCUCACUAUCGGAUGAACCCAGAUGGGAUUAGCCAGUAGGCGGGGUAAUGGCCCACCUAGGCGACGAUCCCUAGCUGGUCUGAGAGGAUGACCAGCCAAACUGGAACUGGGACACGGGCCAGACUCCUACGGGAGGCAGCAGUGGGGAAUAUUGCACAAUGGGCGCAAGCCUGAUGCAGCCAUGCCGCGUGUAUGAAGAAGGCCUUCGGGUUGUAAAGUACUUUCAGCGGGGAGGAAGGCGAUGUGGUUAAUAACCUUGUCGAUUGACGUUACCCGCAGAAGAAGCACCGGCUAACUCCGUGCCAGCCGCCGCGGUAA
This 506-nucleotide ribosomal RNA is filed under the name uncultured bacterium. RNAcentral describes it as "partial 16S ribosomal RNA". It matches the Rfam family "Bacterial small subunit ribosomal RNA", at positions 29 to 523 of the family's 1533-position model. The record is from RNAcentral.